UAAAAAAAUUGAUUAUAUACUUUGUGAUUUAGCAACUUCAGUUCUUUUGUUACCUAAUCAUCAUCAAAGUCAAUAGUUUAUUCUCCCAACGGCGUCCCGAGUUGGGUCCAAGAAUCAAAAGGGUUGACAAGAUAGAUCCCUGAAUUGUGGGGAGCUUGAUGGCGAUUUUCGAUCAUAAGAAGUUGGGACUCUGCCGAGACGACGGUGUGGCCUCGGAAGUGUUGGGGGAUGGGGAUUGAGUUGUCAGGAGAGACGGAUUCAGUUUUCUGGCAAAUGUCCAGAUCUUCAUCGCCCAGUUUGGAGCUAGCACACUGUUUGUAGCAAGCCUAAUGUCUGGCCCGUCGAAGCUUCUGUGCAGUGAAUUUUCCAGGGAGUCUCAUUUCUUGAGGACCAUAGGGCAGGUAAGUAUCCAUCAUGCUGUUAUUUCACUUCUGCAGUGAAGUUGUCGGAGUGUGUGAAAAUUGUACCCUAAUUUAUAUGCCUCUGUAUGAUGUAGUUUUCUCCACUAGAUGUUGCAAGUAUAUCUUGGGAUUAUUCUUCUUACAUUCAACUGAUGUUGAAGUCUGUGGUCGUCAAUUUUACUAGCACAAUUAAUACGUAGAAGUUGGUGAAUUGCAUUAUGUAGUUGCCUGUGAAAUUAGCAGAUAGUUUUAACUAUUUAUAGUUUGCAAAUCCAUUUCCCUUCCUCAAAUUCAUAAAACUUCAAAAUUUUUUUUUACUUUUAGUCCCUUUGCCAUGAAUCACACACCCUAGACAACUUUCACAUAUUCAAAACAAUAAAGAUAAAUUCAUAAUAGAAUCCCUCAAAACAGACUGAAAUUAUGAAGGGAAAUAAAAAAAUAGAUGGGUUGAAUGGGUCAUUUAAAGUUCAUCUUAACAAAUGGGUGACUUGGGCAGUCGACUCAGCCAGGGGUUGAUGCGCAAGGCCGCAAGGCCUUUCGGACGUCGACAUGUGACGCCUUUCGGGUCAUCGACAUGUGACGCCUUUCGAGUCGUCGACAUGCAGUGCCCUUCGAGUCGUUCUCGCAAGAUGUCGGCGUGUCGAGUCGACUAAGUUGGGACUCUGAUUUUCUUGAGAUGUUAACUUGAUUAUGCAUAAUGUGGGACACUUAUCUGCCAUUAAUUAGGGAUUAUUUUUCAUUACUAAAACGGCUAUAACAGACACAAAUCAUGAGUUACAUUCUAGAAAAUUAUGGAUUUUGAAGUGUGCCUAUUUACUUGUCAUUGGUCAAAGCAGAUGAAAAUUGACAAAAUUUAUGUGUUAUAACCCAUCAAAAUCAUGAGUUUCAAAACACGUAUGUUUACUUGCCAUUUGGUUGUAACGUACAAAAAUUGGUAAAAGGGGUACUUAUAACAAUGAAAUUGUGUAUUAGAAAGUAAACUUACUUGUCAUUUGGUCGAAAUUAACAAAAUUGAGAAAAGUUGUAGGUAAUUCCCAUAUAUUUUGAAGUACACAAACCUAUUUGCUAUUGGGUCAAAAUGAAUAAAUUUUAACAAAAUCUUUUGAUUAUAGCCCAUGAAAAUCAUGCGUUAUAACCCCUUGUAAAUUGUAAAUCUCCAAAGUACUCUUAUUGAUGCUCAUUUGCUCAAAAUAGAUGAAAAUGUUAAAAAAAUUUACGUUAUAGCUUAUAAAAUCGUGAAUUUGAAAGCAUGCAUAAUUAGUUGUCAUUGAACCAAAAUGAAAAAAAUUCAUAGGUUAUAACCCAUUAAAAUCAUGAAUUUUGAAAAAAAAAUAAUUGCCAUUAAAUUAAAAUGAAGAAAAUUUUAAAAAAAUCGUGUGUUAUAGCCCAAGAAAAUCGUGAAUGUUGAAGUGCACAUACUUAUUUACUAUUAGGUGGAAAACUUACUUUAAUAGAUAAAAUUAUUGGUUAUAAUCGAUGAAAAUUAAGAAUUUUAAAGUAUGCAUAAUUAAUUUUCAUUAGGUCAAAAUAAGAGAUAGUGGGCAAAAAUCUCAAGCUAUAGUUGUAAAAAGUGUGUUUGAAGGAUUCCUAAUUAGUUGCCAUUGAGUGAAGACAAACAAAAUAAAUAAAUAAAUAAAUAUUGUAGGUUUAGUUGAUAAAAACCGUGAAGUUCGUAGUAUGUAAAUGUAAUUGCUAUUCGGUUGAAAUAAACAACAACGGAUAAAAGUUCGGUAGCCAACAAAAGUCCUGAAUUAAAAAAAGGAAAUUUAAUGCUUUUAGGUUGAAACAAACGAAAAUGAACAAAAAUCAUGGGUUAUAAAUUUAUAACCCAAAAAAAUUGCGAAGUUUUUAGUACGCAAAAUUAAUUUCCAUUGAGCCGAAACAAACAAAAAUGACAAAAAUCAUGGAUUACAGUCUAUGAAAAUUGGGAACUUGUAAGUGCCCUAAAUAAUUGUCAUUGAAUCAAAAUAAAUAAAAGUGGAUAAUAUUCAUGUGUUAUAGCCCAUGAUAAUAGUGAAUUUUGAAAUAUGCAUACUUAUUUGUCCUUGGGUCCAAACGAAUGAAAAUAUAGAAAAAUUAUUGGUUACAGCCUAUAGUACUGAUGAAUUUUCAAGUAUAUGCAUAAUUUAAUUGUUAUUAAGUCAAAUAAAUGAUAAUUGACAAUAGUCAUGAGUUAUAGACCAUGAAAAAAAUUACAAAAUUUGAAGUACUUCUAAGUGAUUGUCAUUGGUCGAAAUAGACAAAAAUGGACACAUUUGGUUAUGGGCUAUAAAAAUUAUCAAUUUUGAAGUAUCCGUAAUUAAUUGAUAUUUUAUUGAAGAUGACAAAACGGACAAACUUUGUAGGUUAUAUCCCAUAAGAACCAUGAAUUUUGAAGCACACAGAAUUUAGUUUUCAUUGGGUUUUUGCACGAAAUUGACCAAAACAAUGCUAUGUAGCCCAUGAAAAUUACAAAUUAAAAAAAAACUAAAUGUCAUUGAGUCGAACGAAUGAAAAUGAAAAAAAAAUCAUUGGUAUAACCCAUGAAAAUUACAAAUUUUGGACUAUGUAUAAUUAAUUUUCAUUGGGUCGUAACGAAUGAAAUAGACAAAAAACAUGGAUUAUAUCCAAUAAAAAUUGUGAAAAACUCAAAAAUACCUAAUUACUGGUCACUAGUCAAAACAGAUAAAAAAUGAUAAAAUUUAUGCUUUAUAACCCAUCAAAAUCAUAUUGAAACAAAUGAAAGUAGAUAAAAGUCGUGGUAUAACUCAUGAAAGUAGUGAAUUUAAGUACACAAAAUUAAUUUUUAUUGGGGCGAAACAUACAAAAAUGGACAAAAAUCUUGGGUUAUAGUUCAUAGAAGUUGGGAAUUUGUAAGUACACCUAGUUAAUUAAAUUGGAUUGAAGCAAACAUAUAUUGACAAAAUUCAUGGGUAUAACCCAUGAAACUCUAAAAUUUGAAGCAUGUGUAAUUAUUUGUCAUUGGUUUGAAAUCGAACAAAAAUGGACAAGAAUCAUGGGUUAUAGCCUGUAAAAAAUUUAAGUACACAUUUAAUUAUCACCAAGUCGAAAUAAAUGAUAAUUGUCAAGAGUUAUGAGUUAUAGACCAUUAAAUUAUAAAUUUUAAAGUACUCCUAUAUUAUUGUCAUUUUUGUCAAAAAAGACAAAAAUGGACAAAAUUUGUCGAUUUCAGCCUAUAAAAUCAUGAAUCUUGAAGUACAUAAAAUUUAUUUUCUUUUGCAUUGAAACAUACGAAAUUGACAAAAACUAUGAGAUAUAUCCCAUGAAAAUUGCAAAUCUUCUAGAAAUAAAACUAAAUGACAUUAUGUAGAACAAACAAAAAUGGACAAAAUCAUCGGUUAUUACCCAUGAAAAUCAUGAAUCUUUUAGUACUCUAAUUAGUUUCCAUUUGAUUAGACAAACAAAAUAGACAAAAAACGUGGAUUAUAUCCCAUGAAAAUUGUGAAUUUUAAAGUAUUCCUAAUUACUUGUCAUUGGUCAAAACAGAUGAAAAUUAAUAAAAUUUAUAUGUUAUAACCCAUCAAAAUAAUGAAUUUUUUGUUUCACAUUUCAUCGAAACAUACAAAAAUUAAUUAAAAAUGGUAGGUUAUAGCAAUGAAAAUCUGUAUUUUGAAUAAAGAACCUUAGUUGGCGUUGGAUAGAAACUAACAAAAAUUGUGAAAUGUUGUAGGCUAUGCCCAUGGAAAAUCAUGAAUUUUGAAGUACACACGUGUAUUUGUCAUUGAGUUCAAAUGAAUAACUAUUAAUAAAAUCUUUUAGUUGUACCCCAUGCAAUUCCUGAACUUUUAAGUAUGAAUAUUAAUUGUCAUUUGGUCAGAAUGAAUGAUAAUGGACAAAAAUCAUGCGUUAUAUUGCUUGAAAAUUGUAAAAUUUAAAGUACUUUUAACUAUUGCUCAUUGGGUCAAAAUAGACGAAGUUAAAAAAGAACAAUUUGAGUUAUAGCCUAUAAAAAUUGUGAAUUUAAAAGUGUAUGCAUUAUUAAUUGUCACUAAGUUGAAAUAAAAAAAUCAUGAGUUAAAACCCAUUAACAUAGUGAAUUUUGACAAAAGAAAUUGUGAUUGCCAUAGGGUAAAAUGAAAGAAGAUCUAGAAAAAUUAUGGGUUAGCCCAUGAAAAUCGUGAAUUUUGAAGUACACAUUUAUUUGACAUUAGGUUGGAAACUUAACAAGAUUGAGAAAAUUUGUGGGUUAUAAGUCAUGUAAAUCGGGAAUUUUAAAGUAUGUAUAAUUAAUUGUCAUUAACUCUAAAUGAAUGAUAAUGGACAAAAAUUAUGGGUCAUAGCUAUGAAUAAUAAUUUUGAAGGGCAUUUAAUUAAUUGUCAUUGGGUUAAAACAAAUACAAAAUGGACAAAUAUCGUGGGUUAUUUAUGAGGAAUAGUAAAGCCAACCUUUGAAUGAAAACUUUGUGGAAAAUAUUUGGAUGAAUGGUAGUUUUUUCUUUUUCUUUUUUAAUAAAAGGCUUCUCAAAGAAAGAUAAAAGUACGAGAUAAUGUGGGUUAGAUCUGUUUCACGUGUAGCAUCUAGCUUGAAUAUAUGGAUUCAUGCCUUUGAGGCUUUCCACCAAAUUUCUCAUAUAAACGUAAUUUUUAUUCCUUCUAUAAUAUCUGCUUCACAUGAAGCCGUAAACCCCAAUAAUAGAGUUUAGAAUCUAAAACAAGUAACUAAUUUCAACUAACAAAUUCAAUCCUAUCUUUAAAACUAACUCAAACAAAUUCAACUCUAUCCUAAUUGACUAAGAUCAAAUAACUAAUUCUAAUUUAUCUAAAAUCAAAUCUAAAUUUAAAAUCAUAACAACUUUAUUUUGUUCAAGCUGAACCAAAUCUGAUCUUUGAAUUUGUCCUGCAUCAAUUAUAGUUUAUGAAAACUAUGAAUUUUGAGUUACACAUAAUUAAUUACUAUGGGGUCGAAAUGAACGACAAUGGAUAAAAGUCAUGUAGCCCACAAAGUUGCAAAUUUUAAAAAAGAAAAAACUUAAAACUAUUAGGUCAAAACAAACGAAAAGGACAAACAUCAUGGAUUAUAACCCAUAAAAGCUGUGAAUUUUUAAGCACACAAAAACCAUGAGUUGUAAUCCAUGAAAAUUGAGAAUUUGUGAGCAUGCCUAAUUAAUUGUCAUUAGAUUACAAAUGAAAACGGAUCAAAGUCGUGUGUUAAAGCCCAUCAAAAUUGUGAAUUUUGAAGCUUGCAUACUUAUUUGUCAUUGGGUUGAAACGAAUGAAAGUCAUGGGUUAUAGCCAAUGAAAGUCAAGAAUUUUUAAGUAGAUGUAAUUAAUUGUCAUUAGGCCGUCAUAAACGAUAAAUGACAAGAGUCAUGAGUUACAAACCAUGAAAAUUACAAAGUUUAAAGCCUCCUAAUUAAUUGUCAUUGGUUCAAACAGGCAAAAUUGAACAAAAAUUGCGGGUCAUAGGCCAUGAAAAUUGUCAAUUUUGAAGUGCGCAUAAUUAAUUGCCAUUUUGCCAAAAAAUAUGAAAAUGGACCAACUUUGUGGGUUAUAUAAUAUAGCUUGUUAAAAUCGUAAAUUUAUAAGCACACAUGAAAUUCAUGAUAUAUUGACAAAAAGCAUGAGAUAUAGACCAUGAAAGUCGCAGAUUUUAGAAAAAAGACACAUAAUUGCUAUCGGGUUGAAACAAAUAAAAAUUGUAAGAUAUGACCCAAGAAAAUUGAUAGUUGUUUACCAUUUUGGUCGAAACAAAUAAAAAUUGAUAAAAAUUAUGGUUUCAUAGCCCAUUAAAAUUGAAAAUUUUGAAACAAAAAUAAGUAAUUGUCAUUGGCUCGGAAUGAGCAUUAAGGGACACAAAUCAUUAGUUAUAACCCAUAAAAAUUGCAAUCUUUGAAGUACUCCUGAUUAAUAGCUAUUUGGAUGAAACAUAUCCAAAUGGACAAAAUUUUUAUUAGACCAGAAAAACUGCUCCGAUAAAAUUGAAUGGUGAAAAUUGCUUCAGGUAAAUGAGGCUCUUCUAAUAGUUGUUGUUGUCUUUUGCCUCACUGUUGAACUGAUGCUAUUUAAACUUUAAUCUCGUUUGCUCGAUUUAGUUAUGCAGGCAAAGUUCACGAGACUUUGCCGUCCUCUUAUUCAGAAAGCUUCCUCUCUGCAAAGGGUGUCGUCCAAGAGAAAAAGGCAUGUUAAUCAAAUAAGUAUUUUCCUGCAAGCACCACAGGGAGGUUAGAAGUUGAAGGCAGAUCUCCAGGCAACGUAAUCAGUGGUUACUGGUCAACAUGAAACUGAAGCUUAUCAUGAUGCCUCUACAUUCUUUCAAAUGUCACCACAUCCAUAUUACAUUUACACUUGUGUAUUCAUGACAAGGGCCAUGGCAGGAGCUCACUUUGAAUAUUCUGUCUGGUCACAGUGCAUUUGGACCGCUUGAAGAAGGAAUAUAUGGUCCAAGCAAAUAAUUGAUAAAGAUCAAUUCGAAUUUUUUGUUUCCCCUGGUCAGCAGUCAUUGAGCUUUGUUCUCCAAGAGACGACCUUGAUCUUUUCAAAACUGAAAAGGGAAUAUAUGUUCCGAGCAAAAGAUUUUAUUUUCUUCUACGCUGAAAGAAAGUUGUCUGCAUAAAGAAGACUGUAACAGGAGAUCCAUAUCGCACCAGCCUCAAUAGAUGACACAAAUACAUAACCGCGGGAUAGUGGAACAGAAGUAAAGACACAGCGAUAUAUUGUGUGACAACAUCGUUGAGAAAAGGUUCGGUGCAUUAAAUAUAUGAUGCAAUUUUAAAAAAUAAUGAAAUUAAUGCUAAGAGGGCUAGCCUUGUUUUUACUGAACUGCAGCAUUCUUCCAGAAACCCUGAUCAUUGAUAUCUUAAUAUUGGCUUAUCCUGUUGAUGUUUGUUGAUGUUACCACAUCUUCUUAAUCUGGGAUUGCGCAUAUUGUACCUGUCUGACCUUUUUAAAAUUGAUGUUUGCUUUUUCUCAUGAAUAGCUCUUUUUCGGCUUAGCUGGGUACAUAAUUAGCGAAAUAAAUGCUAUCUGGGUGUUAAUUAGGAUGAGAGGAUGACAAACACAUGCGCACGUUAACCAAAAACUACACCAUCACCCAAAUCUUGUUUGAGCUACUUCUGCUUUCCUCCUUUUUUUUUGUCGGCAGUUGCACAAAUAAUUGGGGCAAAUUCCAACGGUAAGCAAAAUACGAAGAAGAUUUUCGUUCCUUACAUGUGAAGCUAGUUAUUAAGGUUUUUUUUUUUUUGAAGUUGGUCUCCUUAAAUAUAGAUGGCUCUUAGACUUACAUCUUACAAGUAGAAAGAGUAUUCUGUCAAUUGUUCAUAUGUUUUGGUUUUGCGUAGAGUGGCAGUUUUUUUUAGAGCGGACACAGUUGUUCUUUUUCCCCCUCCUUUUUCAAAUUUUUUUUCGUUCUUUCAAAUUAGUAAAACAUUGAGCUUGUUUCCCUGUGGACAUAUAUAAGCUGAAGGAUGGCUGUGAUUCUACGUCCUUUUAUGUCUAAGCAGAAGAUUGUAUAUAUUCACCCCUCCCUCCAAUGGUCGUCUCUUAUCCAACACCUCGAUCUGCCUCGGAAAAAUUCUUCCGCAUAGAAAAAGCUUGUAGCUCAGCUGAUUAGUCAAAUGGUGAGCUCUCCCUCUGAAGCUCAUACCAUGCAGCUUUCAAUUCUUUUAGUUACGCCUUACUGUUCUAAGCAUUCAUCUGUUUUGAUUUUAUAUGUGCACUUUUACGCUUACCCUGUGGUUUACUUUGAAGAGUGAGUAGUGUGUGGUAAAGACAUGCAGUUUCCAGUUAGAGGAGGGAGAGGACGGGGAAAUGGACAGGGUGAUGUAAGAGGUUAUGGUGCUGAUAUCGGGAGUGGUAACUGGGCGGCUGGUGGCAAUGAUAUCCGUAUCCGCAAUGUUCUAGGACAUAUUUCUGAUGGCAUGCAGAUUGGAAGCAACAAUUUCUCUGAAACCGAUAAUGUUGUUCGUAUAGGUCAAUCUGGUAACUCUAAUCGGCCUGCACAAUGUAGAGACGAUGAUGACACCGUGGAAGUCACAGGAUGCUGGGGAGCAUUGGUUGCACCAAUAAAGAAGCAGCUUAGACGGAAUAGCAAGUCAUGACAUCUCUCCUUUUCACUGAUUUUGGGUUACAGUUAACAUAUGUAUAUGUACACACUAUGUAGAAUAUGCUUUUGUACGAGUCCCCUGUUUUUUUUCUUCUUUGACUAUUGAGGAAAAUGGAAAUAUUCUGCUUUUUUACAAGACCUAAAUGAAGUCCU
Asparagus officinalis (garden asparagus) is the source of this 8595-nucleotide long non-coding RNA. RefSeq lists it as uncharacterized. NCBI's taxonomy places the organism in Eukaryota, Viridiplantae, Streptophyta, Magnoliopsida, Asparagales, Asparagaceae. The transcript is spliced from 7 exons. The record is from RefSeq and is a predicted model, not a curated record.